UUCGCCCUUAGAGUUUGAUCCUGGCUCAGGACGAACGCUGGCGGCGCGCCUAACACAUGCAAGUCGAACGAGCGAGAGAGAGCUUGCUUUCUCAAGCGAGUGGCGAACGGGUGAGUAACGCGUGAGGAACCUGCCUCAAAGAGGGGGACAACAGUUGGAGACGACUGCUAAUACCGCAUAAGCCCACAGCUCGGCAUCGAGCAGAGGGAAAAGGAGCAAUCCGCUUUGAGAUGGCCUCGCGUCCGAUUAGCUGGUUGGUGAGGUAAUGGCCCACCAAGGCGACGAUCGGUAGCCAGACUGAGAGGUUGAACGGCCACAUUGGGACUGAGACACGGCCCAGACUCCUACGGGAGGCAGCAGUGGGGAAUAUUGCACAAUGGGGGAAACCCUGAUGCAGCGACGCCGCGUGGAGGAAGAAGGUCUUCGGAUUGUAAACUCCUGUUGUUGAGGAAGAUAAUGACGGUACUCAACAAGGAAGUGACGGCUAACUACGUGCCAGCAGCCGCGGUAAAACGUAGGUCACAAGCGUUGUCCGGAAUUACUGGGUGUAAAGGGAGCGCAGGCGGGAAGACAAGUUGGAAGUGAAAUCUAUGGGCUCAACCCAUAAACUGCUUUCAAAACUGUUUUUCUUGAGUAGUGCAGAGGUAGGCGGAAUUCCCGGUGUAGCGGUGGAAUGCGUAGAUAUCGGGAGGAACACCAGUGGCGAAGGCGGCCUACUGGGCACCAACUGACGCUGAGGCUCGAAAGUGUGGGUAGCAAACAGGAUUAGAUACCCUGGUAGUCCACACCGUAAACGAUGAUUACUAGGUGUUGGAGGAUUGACCCCUUCAGUGCCGCAGUUAACACAAUAAGUAAUCCACCUGGGGAGUACGACCGCAAGGUUGAAACUCAAAGGAAUUGACGGGGGCCCGCACAAGCAGUGGAGUAUGUGGUUUAAUUCGACGCAACGCGAAGAACCUUACCAAGUCUUGACAUCCCUUGACGAUGCUGGAAACAGUAUUUCUCUUCGGAGCAAGGAGACAGGUGGUGCAUGGUUGUCGUCAGCUCGUGUCGUGAGAUGUUGGGUUAAGUCCCGCAACGAGCGCAACCCUUACUGUCAGUUACUACGCAGGAGGACUCUGGCAGGACUGCCGUUGACAAAACGGAGGAAGGUGGGGAUGGCGUCAAAUCAUCAUGCCCUUUAUGACUUGGGCUACACACGUACUACAAUGGCGUUAAACAAAGAGAAGCAAGACCGCGAGGUGGAGCAAAACUCAGAAACAACGUCCCAGUUCGGACUGCAGGCUGCAACUCGCCUGCACGAAGUCGGAAUUGCUAGUAAUCGUGGAUCAGCAUGCCACGGUGAAUACGUUCCCGGGCCUUGACACACCGCCCGUC
RNAcentral lists this ribosomal RNA (1377 nucleotides) under uncultured bacterium. Its description in RNAcentral is "16S ribosomal RNA". It matches the Rfam family "Bacterial small subunit ribosomal RNA". The record is from RNAcentral.